AUCCCUCACUGCUAAGCUAUCCCUCGCUGCUAAGCUAUCACAGCCAAUCUAUCGCUGCUAAUCUAUCGCUGCCAACCUAUCUACCGCGGCGAAUCUAUCUAUCGCUGCCAAUUUAUCUACCACUGCCAAUCUAUCUAUCGCUGCCAAUCUAUUGCUGCUAAUCUAUCGCUGCUAAUCUAUCGCUGCUGCCAAUCUAUCUUUCGCUGCUAAUAUAUCGCCGCUGCCAAUCUAUCCCUCGCUGCUAAGCUAUCCCUCGCUGCUAAGCUAUCCCUCACUGCUAAUCUAUCGCUGCCAACCUAUCUAUCACUGCCAAUCUAUCUAUCGCUGCUAAUCUAUCGCUGCUAAUCUAUCGCUGCUAAUCUAUCGCUGCUAAUCUAUCGCUGCUAAUCUAUUGCUGCUAAUCUAUUGCUGCUAAUCUAUCGCUGCCAACCUAUCUACCGCGGCGAAUCUAUCUAUCACUAUCAUUACUAGUUCAAAAUAGAACUAGAGCAUAAAUACACUAAACUUCUUUUGAUAGGUAAUGAUUUUUGGUAACACUCAUAGCAUUAUAUCAUCUAUAUAGAGUAAAUCAUGGUCCCAUUUGGUCCCAUUUUAACAAAAUGGGAUCAAAUGGGACCAGAAUCAGUAAUUUAUAAGAAGAACAUGACCUGGGACU
This 655-nucleotide small RNA is filed under the name Histoplasma ohiense. Its description in RNAcentral is "hypothetical lncRNA". Lineage: Eukaryota; Fungi; Ascomycota; Eurotiomycetes; Onygenales; Ajellomycetaceae. The record is from RNAcentral.